UACGUAGGGUGCAAGCGUUAAUCGGAAUUACUGGGCGUAAAGCGUGCGCAGGCGGUUAUAUAAGACAGUUGUGAAAUCCCCGGGCUCAACCUGGGAACUGCAUCUGUGACUGUAUAGCUAGAGUACGGUAGAGGGGGAUGGAAUUCCGCGUGUAGCAGUGAAAUGCGUAGAUAUGCGGAGGAACACCGAUGGCGAAGGCAAUCCCCUGGGCCUGCACUGACGCUCAUGCACGAAAGCGUGGGGAGCAAACAGG
This 253-nucleotide ribosomal RNA is filed under the name uncultured bacterium. RNAcentral's name for it is "partial 16S ribosomal RNA". It matches the Rfam family "Bacterial small subunit ribosomal RNA", at positions 524 to 776 of the family's 1533-position model. The record is from RNAcentral.